This 436-nucleotide ribosomal RNA is filed under the name Catonella morbi. Its description in RNAcentral is "bacterial SSU rRNA". It matches the Rfam family "Bacterial small subunit ribosomal RNA", at positions 28 to 444 of the family's 1533-position model. Lineage: Bacteria; Bacillati; Bacillota; Clostridia; Lachnospirales; Lachnospiraceae. The record is from RNAcentral.
GAUGAACGCUGGCGGCGUGCCUAACACAUGCAAGUCGAACGGAGAUUACGGACGGAAGUUUUCGGAUGGAAGACUGUAAUUCUUAGUGGCGGACGGGUGAGUAACGCGUGGGCAACCUGCCCUAUACAGGGGGAUAGCAGCUGGAAACGGCUGGUAAGACCGCAUAAGUCGGUUAAAUCGCAUGAUUUGAUCGGGAAAUGAGCAAUCAGGUAUAGGAUGGGCCCGCGUCCGAUUAGCCAGUUGGCAGGGUAAAAGCCUACCAAAGCGACGAUCGGUAGCCGGACUGAGAGGUCGGACGGCCACAUUGGGACUGAGACACGGCCCAAACUCCUACGGGAGGCAGCAGUGGGGGAUAUUGCACAAUGGAGGAAACUCUGAUGCAGCGACGCCGCGUGAGUGAAGAAGUAUUUCGGUAUGUAAAGCUCUAUCAGCAGGG